This is a long non-coding RNA of Acanthochromis polyacanthus (spiny chromis), 2129 nucleotides long. RefSeq lists it as uncharacterized. The record is from RefSeq and is a predicted model, not a curated record. The transcript is spliced from 3 exons. NCBI's taxonomy places the organism in Eukaryota, Metazoa, Chordata, Actinopteri, Pomacentridae.
UAGAGAGAGAGAAGGUUAGAGAGAGAUGGGUUAGAGAGACAGACAGGUUAGAGAGAGACAGACGGGUUAGAGAGAGAGAAGGUUAGAGAGAGAUGGGUUAGAGAGACAGACAGGUUAGAGAGAGAGAAGGUUAGAGAGAGAUGGGUUAGAGAGACAGACAGGUUAGAGAGAGACAGACGGGUUAGAGAGAGAGAAGGUUAGAGAGAGACAGACAGGUUAGAGAGAGAGAAGGUUAGAGAGAGAUGGGUUAGAGAGACAGACAGGUUAGAGAGAGACAGACGGGUUAGAGAGAGAGAAGGUUAGAGAGAGACAGACAGGUUAGAGAGAGAGAAGGUUAGAGAGAGACAGACAGGUUAGAGAGAGAGAAGGUUAGAGAGAGAUGGGUUAGAGAGACAGACAGGUUAGAGAGAGACAGACGGGUUAGAGAGAGAGAAGGUUAGAGAGAGAGAAGGUUAGAGAGAGACAGACAGGUUAGAGAGAGAGAAGGUUAGAGAGAGACAGACAGGUUAGAGAGAGACAGACGGGUUAGAGAGAGAGAAGGUUAGAGAGAGACAGACAGGUUAGAGAGAGAGAAGGUUAGAGAGAGACAGACAGGUUAGAGAGAGACAGACGGGUUAGAGAGAGAGAAGGUUAGAGAGAGACAGACAGGUUAGAGAGAGAGAAGGUUAGAGAGAGACAGACAGGUUAGAGAGAGACAGACGGGUUAGAGAGAGAGAAGGUUAGAGAGAGACAGACGGGUUAGAGAGAGAGAAGGUUAGAGAGAGAUGGGUUAGAGAGACAGACAGGUUAGAGAGAGACAGACGGGUUAGAGAGAGAGAAGGUUAGAGAGAGACAGACAGGUUAGAGAGAGAGAAGGUUAGAGAGAGAUGGGUUAGAGAGACAGACAGGUUAGAGAGAGACAGACCGGUUAGAGAGAGAGAAGGUUAGAGAGAGACAGACAGGUUAGAGAGAGAGAAGGUUAGAGAGAGACAGACAGGUUAGAGAGAGAGAAGGUUAGAGAGAGAUGGGUUAGAGAGACAGACAGGUUAGAGAGAGACAGACGGGUUAGAGAGAGAGAAGGUUAGAGAGAGACAGACAGGUUAGAGAGAGAGAAGGUUAGAGAGAGACAGACAGGUUAGAGAGAGACAGACAGGUUAGAGAGAGACAGACCGGUUAGAGACAGACCGGUUAGAGAGACAGACAGGUUAGAGAGAGCGUAGUGUCUACAGAUACGGACCCGUACGCGUAGCCUGUGGCCUACGGAUACGGCACUUUCCAUUUCCCAGAUUGCUUCUUUAAUUCUCGCUGCCUGAAAUACCCCAGUGCCCCCUAUCGUGUGGCCAUUUUCAUGGCAAAAAGGACUUCGAUGUCGAUAUGAACUGGCUUGGCCUCUAUAUACAUGUGUCUCUACUGCAUUCACUAUAGUUACACCCACUGUCUUUGGCCAGUUAUUUAAAAAGUAAUAAAGAUGAAUGAGAUCGCCACGGUGUAGAAAGGUUUAUAACAGAGUAUAAGAUGUAUUUCAGCAGGUCCGUACUUCCAGUACAGAUGCUACGGGUACGGGUCCGUACCUCUAGCAUCAAUCUAGAGAGAGAUGGGUUAGAUCUGAUCCAGACUGAGGAGGACAGUCGCUUCUUCCCGAAGUUUCCAAAGAGCACAGAAUCUUUCUGGGCUCAGUUUUCCCUAAAAACACAUCAAACUGUCCACGUUCUGCUGUUAUAGCGUCCUUCAGCGUCUCACUGCUUUAAAUCAUCCACAGAUUUCUCCACAGAAACUCUUCACCUGCUCAACUUCCUCUUUAAAGUCUUUUCUUCUGUUUUGUCAGGAUCAUGGGACCCAUUAGCAACAGGUUAGCAACAUGUUAGCAACAUGCUAGCAACACAUUAACAAUCUGUUAGCAACACGUUAGCAUCCCUGCUGCUAGCAGCUAGCUAAACUCAAACAAUCACCAGCAGCCUUCAGUCCCAUCGUUUCCUCAGUAAAGCUGCUUCUCUGAACUCCUGGAUCUAAGGUCCUGAUCAGCGGUACCUGGCUGUGGUCGACCAAUCACAGUAGACUUUACAGGAGGGGGAGGAGCUACAACAGAGUGAUGCAGCAAUGGACAGUCUGAGGAAAUGAUGCGUUUCUGAACAUAAAGCAGGUAAACAACC